CCUACGGGUGGCAGCAGUGAGGAAUAUUGGUCAAUGGGCGAGACCCUGAACCAGCCCAGUCGCGUGAAUGAUGGCGGGUCUACGGGUUGUAAACUUUUUUUGUCAGGGAGCAAUUGGGUCCACGCGUGGGCUUAGCGAGAGUACCUGAAGAAAAAGCAUCGGCUAACUCCGUUCCAGCAGCCGCGGUAAUAGGGAGGAUGAGAGCGUUAUCCGGAUUUAUUGGGUUUAAAGGGUGCGUAGGCGGAAUAUCAAGUCAGCGGGAAAAAUUCGGGGCUAAAACCCGUCGUGCUAUUGAAACUGAUGUUCUUGAGUGGGCGAGAAGUAUGCGGAAUGCGUGGUGUAGCGGUGAAAUGCAUAGAUAUCACGCAGAACUCCGGUUGCGAAGGCAGCAUACCGGAGCCCAACUGACGCUGAAGCACGAAAGCGUGGGUAUCGAACAGGAUUAGAUACCCCAGUAGUC
Molecule: ribosomal RNA, 460 nt
Filed under: uncultured bacterium
Lineage: Bacteria
Description: partial 16S ribosomal RNA
Rfam family: Bacterial small subunit ribosomal RNA
Source: RNAcentral